RNAcentral lists this long non-coding RNA (611 nucleotides) under Panax ginseng (ginseng). Its description in RNAcentral is "long non-coding RNA (PGIN_LNC019187)". Lineage: Eukaryota; Viridiplantae; Streptophyta; Magnoliopsida; Apiales; Araliaceae. The record is from RNAcentral.
AACAUCAGAUCUGGGGUAAAUCAACCAUCAAAGUAGCUACCAAAGCUGUUCUUCACGAAGAAUAGUUCGAGGUGCCUACUUUGGACCUCUAUAACUUGAUGAUCGUGUAACUUUUAUGUGAUCUAUCAAUUCCAGUGUGUACACAACAUGUAGGACUACAACUCUAACACUUAGCAUCAUCAUAACAACAAUAAAUCAAGCAUUUAAAGUAUGGUCAAACCUUGUAUGAAAAAUCAACACUUAGAAAAUUCUGGGCUACCCAGAAUUUUCCGGUCAAUGCCGGUCAACCCAGUUUGACCUUAAAUAACUCUUAAUCCGUAAUAUAUAUGGACCUGAUUCUUUUUGGAGGUUAAAUACCACAUAACAAGCUACACAUAUCAACCUUAAGAACACAAAACACAUUACAGAUGACCGAGAUAUAAGGCCUGACAUUUUCCAAAAAAAACAUUUCUGAACACUUAGAAUAUUUUCUGGGUUUGAAAAAUAGCCGGUCAAUGCCGGUCAACCCACUUUGACUGCUUAUAAAUCCUGAUCUACAAUAGAUAUGAACUUGAUUCCUUUUGGAGAUUAAAGACCACAUACCAGGCUACACAUAGCAAGCUUUAAACAUC